Molecule: ribosomal RNA, 769 nt
Filed under: Geobacter sp. enrichment culture clone MC18B6-5
Lineage: Bacteria; Pseudomonadati; Thermodesulfobacteriota; Desulfuromonadia; Geobacterales; Geobacteraceae
Description: bacterial SSU rRNA
Rfam family: Bacterial small subunit ribosomal RNA
Source: RNAcentral
AACGAACGCUGGCGGCGUGCCUAACACAUGCAAGUCGAACGGAGUGAAGGAGCUUGCUCUUUCAUUUAGUGGCGCACGGGUGAGUAACGCGUAGAUAAUCUGCCUUGGACUCUGGGAUAACAUCUCGAAAGGGGUGCUAAUACCGGAUAAGCCCACGAUGGCGUAAGUCAUUGCGGGAAAAGGGGGCCUCUGAAUAUGCUCCUGAUUCAAGAUGAGUCUGCGUACCAUUAGCUAGUUGGUAGGGUAAGAGCCUACCAAGGCGACGAUGGUUAGCUGGUCUGAGAGGAUGAUCAGCCACACUGGAACUGAGACACGGUCCAGACUCCUACGGGAGGCAGCAGUGGGGAAUUUUGCGCAAUGGGGGAAACCCUGACGCAGCAACGCCGCGUGAGUGAUGAAGGCUUUCGGGUCGUAAAGCUCUGUCUAGAGGGAAGAAAUGAUAGUCGGUUAAUACCCGGUUUUCUUGACGGUACCUCUGAAGGAAGCACCGGCUAACUCCGUGCCAGCAGCCGCGGUAAUACGGAGGGUGCAAGCGUUGUUCGGAUUUAUUGGGCGUAAAGCGCGUGUAGGCGGUUUGUUAAGUCUGAUGUGAAAGCCCUGGGCUCAACCUGGGAAGUGCAUUGGAAACUGGCAGACUUGAAUACGGGAGAGGGUAGUGGAAUUCCUAGUGUAGGAGUGAAAUCCGUAGAUAUUAGGAGGAACACCGGUGGCGAAGGCGGCUACCUGGACCGAUAUUGACGCUGAGACGCGAAAGCGUGGGGAGCAAACA